This 85-nucleotide transfer RNA is filed under the name Caudoviricetes sp. RNAcentral describes it as "tRNA-Ser". It matches the Rfam family "tRNA". From Rfam's summary of the family: Transfer RNA (tRNA) molecules are approximately 80 nucleotides in length. The record is from RNAcentral. Lineage: Duplodnaviria; Heunggongvirae; Uroviricota; Caudoviricetes.
GGUAGAAUGCUUGAGUGGUUUAAAAGGCUGUCCUGCUAAGACAGUGUGCAGUAAUGUACCGAAGGUUCGAAUCCUUCUUCUACCG